AUAACGUUGCAAGCUCAUAACGCGCAGUUACUUUUACACCUUAUUUCAAUCACUAUGAAAUUAUUUCUUUCGAAAGAAUAUGAUAUUUGUAUCUGCUGAGAAAUUCUCAACUCAUUGACGGAGAGAAUUCAACAAAAAAACUGCAGAAGAAGAAGAUGAAGAUGAAGAUGAAGAUAAAGAAGAAAAAGAAGAAGAAGAAGAGGAUGAAGCUUUUCAUUUGCAAUAACAGUAUCGUUUCUUUUUGUUUUUCAUAUAUCUAAAUAAUAACCUCAUCGUCUUACAAGACGAUAACACGA
Long non-coding RNA from Polistes canadensis, 296 nucleotides. RefSeq lists it as uncharacterized. The transcript is spliced from 2 exons. The record is from RefSeq and is a predicted model, not a curated record. Lineage: Eukaryota; Metazoa; Arthropoda; Insecta; Hymenoptera; Vespidae.